This 115-nucleotide ribosomal RNA is filed under the name Acanthosepion pharaonis. Lineage: Eukaryota; Metazoa; Mollusca; Cephalopoda; Sepiida; Sepiidae. The record is from RNAcentral.
UUACGGUCAAAUCACGCUGAAAACACCGGUUCUCGUUCGAUCACCGAAGUUAAGCAUCGUAGAGCCAGGUCAGUACUUAGAUGGGGGACCGCUUGGGAAUACCUGGUACUGUAAG